This 480-nucleotide ribosomal RNA is filed under the name uncultured bacterium. RNAcentral's name for it is "partial 16S ribosomal RNA". It matches the Rfam family "Bacterial small subunit ribosomal RNA", at positions 28 to 507 of the family's 1533-position model. The record is from RNAcentral.
GACGAACGCUGGCGGCGCGUCUAACACAUGCAAGUCGAGCGAUGAAAUUUUAACCGAUCUCUUCGGAGAGAAGAUAAAAUGGAUUAGCGGCGGACGGGUGAGUAACACGUGAGAAACCUGCCUUUCACAAGGGGAUAGCCUCGGGAAACCGGGAUUAAUACCCUAUGACACAUUUCCUUCGCAUGGAAGAAAUGUUAAAACUCCGGUGGUGAAAGAUGGUCUCGCGCCUGAUUAGCUAGUUGGUGGGGUAACGGCCCACCAAGGCCAUGAUCAGUAACCGGCCUGAGAGGGUGAACGGUCACAGUGGAACUGAGACACGGUCCAAACUCCUACGGGAGGCAGCAGUGGGGAAUAUUGCACAAUGGAGGAAACUCUGAUGCAGCGACGCCGCGUGAGCGAUGAAGGCUUUCGAGUCGUAAAGCUCUGUCCUAUGGGAAGAUAAUGACGGUACCAUAGGAGGAAGCCCCGGCUAACUACGUG